Cucurbita moschata (crookneck pumpkin) is the source of this 431-nucleotide long non-coding RNA. RefSeq lists it as uncharacterized. Lineage: Eukaryota; Viridiplantae; Streptophyta; Magnoliopsida; Cucurbitales; Cucurbitaceae. The record is from RefSeq and is a predicted model, not a curated record. The transcript is spliced from 3 exons.
AAAAGGAGGAGGAAGAAGAAGAAAAGGCAAAAAGAAAUAGAGAUGGGAUUGAUGUGAAUGGCUACUCCAUAUUGAAAUUGUUGCCUCUUCCAAUGUUGAAAAUAUGAGCUUCGACUUGACUUCAGCAUCAAGAGCCGACCAGUGAUAAGUUUGAUGUCUCCUUCUAGUUUGUCGGUUGUGCUUCCAUUUGAUGUCCCUUCUAGAUUUUUCUCCUAGCUUGAUUUUUAAGGAAUUUUCAAGUAAUUGCUGGUGUGAUAAGGUCUGGAACAGUGUAGCAUAUUGUUUCUUCUUCAUUUGAGCUAAGGCACUUUCAUGUUGGAUAACUACCGUUCUUUAAUGUUUGUAUGCAUGUGGUUGUUCCAUGAAUAAUUCUACUUUUGUGCAUACUUGCGAGAUCCAUUUCAACUGAGGAGGAAAACAAAGCAUUAUUU